RNAcentral lists this ribosomal RNA (833 nucleotides) under Escherichia coli. Its description in RNAcentral is "partial 23S ribosomal RNA". It matches the Rfam family "Bacterial large subunit ribosomal RNA", at positions 911 to 1744 of the family's 2925-position model. Lineage: Bacteria; Pseudomonadati; Pseudomonadota; Gammaproteobacteria; Enterobacterales; Enterobacteriaceae. The record is from RNAcentral.
UGUUUCGGCAAGGGGGUCAUCCCGACUUACCAACCCGAUGCAAACUGCGAAUACCGGAGAAUGUUAUCACGGGAGACACACGGCGGGUGCUAACGUCCGUCGUGAAGAGGGAAACAACCCAGACCGCCAGCUAAGGUCCCAAAGUCAUGGUUAAGUGGGAAACGAUGUGGGAAGGCCCAGACAGCCAGGAUGUUGGCUUAGAAGCAGCCAUCAUUUAAAGAAAGCGUAAUAGCUCACUGGUCGAGUCGGCCUGCGCGGAAGAUGUAACGGGGCUAAACCAUGCACCGAAGCUGCGGCAGCGACACUAUGUGUUGUUGGGUAGGGGAGCGUUCUGUAAGCCUGUGAAGGUGUACUGUGAGGUAUGCUGGAGGUAUCAGAAGUGCGAAUGCUGACAUAAGUAACGAUAAAGCGGGUGAAAAGCCCGCUCGCCGGAAGACCAAGGGUUCCUGUCCAACGUUAAUCGGGGCAGGGUGAGUCGACCCCUAAGGCGAGGCCGAAAGGCGUAGUCGAUGGGAAACAGGUUAAUAUUCCUGUACUUGGUGUUACUGCGAAGGGGGGACGGAGAAGGCUAUGUUGGCCGGGCGACGGUUGUCCCGGUUUAAGCGUGUAGGCUGGUUUUCCAGGCAAAUCCGGAAAAUCAAGGCUGAGGCGUGAUGACGAGGCACUACGGUGCUGAAGCAACAAAUGCCCUGCUUCCAGGAAAAGCCUCUAAGCAUCAGGUAACAUCAAAUCGUACCCCAAACCGACACAGGUGGUCAGGUAGAGAAUACCAAGGCGCUUGAGAGAACUCGGGUGAAGGAACUAGGCAAAAUGGUGCCGUAACUUCGGGAGAA